UCCAGGGUAGCCUAGUGGACAUGGCACCUGCCCGGGAAGCAGAAGGUUGUGGGUUCGAUUCCCGCCCCUGGAC
RNAcentral lists this transfer RNA (73 nucleotides) under Cordylochernes scorpioides. RNAcentral describes it as "tRNA-Pro". It matches the Rfam family "tRNA". Rfam says of the family: Transfer RNA (tRNA) molecules are approximately 80 nucleotides in length. Lineage: Eukaryota; Metazoa; Arthropoda; Arachnida; Pseudoscorpiones; Chernetidae. The record is from RNAcentral.